RNAcentral lists this small RNA (115 nucleotides) under Enterobacter ludwigii. Lineage: Bacteria; Pseudomonadati; Pseudomonadota; Gammaproteobacteria; Enterobacterales; Enterobacteriaceae. The record is from RNAcentral.
AUCAGCAUCACCACCAUUACAACAACCAUCAUCAUUACCACAGGAAAUGAUGCGGGCUGACGCGUACAGGAAAAACAGAAAAAAGCCCGCACCCAAACAGUGCGGGCUUUUUUUU